Molecule: ribosomal RNA, 504 nt
Filed under: Triticum aestivum (bread wheat)
Lineage: Eukaryota; Viridiplantae; Streptophyta; Magnoliopsida; Poales; Poaceae
Description: partial small subunit ribosomal RNA
Source: RNAcentral
AUGGAGUACCAGCCUCUGGUAUCGGCCCUCGACGCUUGCACCUCCCCCGUCACCCUGGAUGAGAUGUUAACCAUGCUAAGUAACUUUGAUCAGUGCAUGGCACUCUACCAGGGUUCGGGUGGCUUCAAGUCGUCCGCUAACGCAACCUCUCGUGGCCGCGGCGGACCUCCAUGCGGGAAGGUCAGAUCGGGUGGCGGCGGAAACUCCUCCAACAGCACCAAUCCAUGCGCCGGACGUUCCCCCUCCACCAACUCCAAGGGACGCGGCGGCGGUGGUGGCCGCGGCUCCAACAGAGUGUGCCCUGAUGCGCCGCACUACCAGAUCUGCGGCAAGCUCGGUCAUAGUGCUCGGGACUGCUGGUACCGCUACGAUGAUGAUGAUGAUGAUGACUCCCAGGACGAGGACAAGGUGGCUGCUGCUGCGAUGGCUCCUAUGGCAUCGACACCAACUGGUACAUCGACAGUGGUGCCACCGAACACAUCACCAGCGAGCUCGAGAAGGUGA